CAACAGACCAACAUGGCUCAAACCCAGACUAACCAAUUCCAUGCGCAAGCGAUUGCAAAACUUGAGGUUAGUCUGAGCCAAAUAGCCAACUCUUUAGGGGAUAGGAAGAAAGGUGAAUUGCCCAGUCAGCCAGUGCCUAACCCUAGUAGGCAACAGAAUCAAGGGCCGAGAGGCCAGUUUCAGAUUGAUUCUAAUGGAAACCCUAUCCAUGAAGUCCAGGCAAUUACCACUUUACGGUCUGGCAAGCAAGUGGACAACAAAGUCCAACUUCCUGUGCAAGAAAAAAAAGAAAAACAUGAACCAAACCCCACCCAGAAAAACGCACAAGAACAGGGAACACAAGG
Molecule: long non-coding RNA, 344 nt
Filed under: Phoenix dactylifera (date palm)
Lineage: Eukaryota; Viridiplantae; Streptophyta; Magnoliopsida; Arecales; Arecaceae
Description: long non-coding RNA (PDAC_LNC014228)
Source: RNAcentral